AGUGUGGAGGAAACAGCUGAGGUUUCAAAGACAUUUAAUGAGAAAAUUAGAAACCAUUGUGACAUGACGCUGCUUUCAUGUGCCUAUGCUGGGACUGGAAACGUUCUCAAGGUACAACACUUUCUUGGUCAAUGUGCACAGCAUCUUGAGAAGGGAGAAACAUACCAGGGACCUGCCGUACUUGGAAUUGCUAUGGUAGCAAUGGCUG
Olea europaea var. sylvestris is the source of this 208-nucleotide long non-coding RNA. RefSeq lists it as uncharacterized. NCBI's taxonomy places the organism in Eukaryota, Viridiplantae, Streptophyta, Magnoliopsida, Lamiales, Oleaceae. The transcript is spliced from 2 exons. The record is from RefSeq and is a predicted model, not a curated record.